RNAcentral lists this non-coding RNA (63 nucleotides) under uncultured Henriciella sp. Its description in RNAcentral is "tRNA". It matches the Rfam family "tRNA", at positions 6 to 65 of the family's 71-position model. From Rfam's summary of the family: Transfer RNA (tRNA) molecules are approximately 80 nucleotides in length. The record is from RNAcentral. Lineage: Bacteria; Pseudomonadati; Pseudomonadota; Alphaproteobacteria; Hyphomonadales; Hyphomonadaceae.
CUAUAGCUCAGCUGGUAGAGCAACGGAUUUGUAAUCCGUAGGUCCGCGGUUCGAGUCCGUGUG